This 472-nucleotide ribosomal RNA is filed under the name uncultured organism. RNAcentral's name for it is "partial 16S ribosomal RNA". It matches the Rfam family "Bacterial small subunit ribosomal RNA", at positions 335 to 797 of the family's 1533-position model. The record is from RNAcentral.
ACUCCUACGGGAGGCAGCAGUGGGGAAUUUUGGACAAUGGGCGAAAGCCUGAUCCAGCCAUGCCGCGUGCAGGAUGAAGGCCUUCGGGUUGUAAACUGCUUUUGUACGGAACGAAACGGCCUUUUCUAAUAAAGAGGGCUAAUGACGGUACCGUAAGAAUAAGCACCGGCUAACUACGUGCCAGCAGCCGCGGUAAUACGUAGGGUGCAAGCGUUAAUCGGAAUUACUGGGCGUAAAGCGUGCGCAGGCGGUUAUGUAAGACAGUUGUGAAAUCCCCGGGCUCAACCUGGGAACUGCAUCUGUGACUGCAUAGCUAGAGUACGGUAGAGGGGGAUGGAAUUCCGCGUGUAGCAGUGAAAUGCGUAGAUAUGCGGAGGAACACCGAUGGCGAAGGCAAUCCCCUGGACCUGUACUGACGCUCAUGCACGAAAGCGUGGGGAGCAAACAGGAUUAGAAACCCCUGGUAGUCCCA